Molecule: ribosomal RNA, 277 nt
Filed under: uncultured prokaryote
Description: partial 16S ribosomal RNA
Rfam family: Bacterial small subunit ribosomal RNA
Source: RNAcentral
UACGUAGGGGGCGAGCGUUGUCCGGAAUGACUGGGCGUAAAGGGCGUGUAGGCGGUCGAUUAAGUCUGGAGUGAAAGUCCUGCUUUCAAGGUGGGAAUUGCUUUGGAGACUGGUUGACUUGAGUGCGGAAGAGGUAAGUGGAAUUCCCAGUGUAGCGGUGAAAUGCGUAGAGAUUGGGAGGAACACCGGUGGCGAAGGCGGCUUACUGGACUGUAACUGACGCUGAGUCACGAAAGCGUGGGUAGCAAACAGGAUUAGAUACCCUGGUAGUCCCUGA